UACAGAGGGGGCAAGCGUUGUUCGGAAUUACUGGGCGUAAAGGGCGCGUAGGCGGCCUGUUAAGUCGGACGUGAAAUCCCCGGGCUCAACCCGGGAACUGCGUCCGAUACUGGCAGGCUUGAAUCCGGGAGAGGGAUGUGGAAUUCCAGGUGUAGCGGUGAAAUGCAUAGAUAUCUGGAGGAACACCGGUGGCGAAGGCGGCAUCCUGGACCGGCAUUGACGCUGAGGCGCGAAAGCCAGGGGAGCAAAGCGGG
Molecule: ribosomal RNA, 254 nt
Filed under: uncultured bacterium
Lineage: Bacteria
Description: partial 16S ribosomal RNA
Rfam family: Bacterial small subunit ribosomal RNA
Source: RNAcentral